GGCCCAAGAGCUGCCCCCGGACGUCGCGCUUCCUUUUCCGCGCUGCCGCCGAGGGGGUAAGGUUACCGAAGGAGCGUCCGUUAUGCCGGCGGGACGGCGUCCGAGCUUGCGCGCCCGUAGCUGGGCUCUCGGAGGUGAGAAAAAGCCUAUGAGUUUUGAAGGUGUGUGAAGGUCAUUGUGACAAUGUUUUCCAAAAUCCUAUAGAAGAUGGCAGUGAAAAAGCUAAGACCACCACUGCAUGUAUUAAAGCAGAUAGGUAGCUGCAGAUGAGUGUACUUCAGCUGUGGUUUUUGAAAAUACUUCUUCAUCGCCUCAAGUGUGGUAUGCAACAUUUGGAAGAAGGAAUGAAGACUUCAAGAAAACACAUGAACAGAAGCAAGUGAUGCAAAUGAAUGUUUUACUUGAUAUUAACAUCACAAUAAAUUAUGCAGAAAAUA
Microcebus murinus (gray mouse lemur) is the source of this 437-nucleotide non-coding RNA. Lineage: Eukaryota; Metazoa; Chordata; Mammalia; Primates; Cheirogaleidae. The record is from RefSeq and is a predicted model, not a curated record.